UACAGAGACCUCAAGCGUUAUCCGGAAUCACUGGGCGUAAAGCGUACCGAUCGGUGGAUGUAUAAGUCAGAAGGGAAAUCUCCGAGCUCAACUCGGAAUCUGUCUUUUGAAACUAUACAACUAGAGGGGCAAAGAGGAAGCUGGAACGAACGGUGUAGUAGUGAAAUGCGUUGAUAUCGUUCGGAACACCAAUAGCGAAGGCAGGCUUCUGGGUGCAACCUGACACUGCUAGGACGAAAGCGUGGGGAGCGAAUGGG
RNAcentral lists this ribosomal RNA (257 nucleotides) under uncultured bacterium. RNAcentral describes it as "partial 16S ribosomal RNA". It matches the Rfam family "Bacterial small subunit ribosomal RNA", at positions 524 to 776 of the family's 1533-position model. The record is from RNAcentral.